Molecule: long non-coding RNA, 752 nt
Organism: Canis lupus familiaris (dog)
Lineage: Eukaryota; Metazoa; Chordata; Mammalia; Carnivora; Canidae
Exons: 4
Source: RefSeq, a predicted model, not a curated record
AUUUCUCACUGUUCUGGAGGCUGAGGAGUCUGAGAUCCGGAUUCCAGCAUGGUCACGUUCUGGUGAGGCCAGACACAGGAUUACCUACAGUAACAGGAGCAACCAGAACAUGUUCCUGUUAAGUUCUCAUCUACAUGUGGAAGGAAGCAGUAGAGGGAUCAGCGUUUUUACAAGAUUCCUACUUUUGGCAGGAAGUGGAAGAUCCACAACGAGAUGGUCUAUUUUCCCCUGACUGCAGAAAUUCAAGAACCGAGACUUGAAAAAGUGGCACGCAAGGAGUGUCCUUGGUGGCUGUGGAUAUGCUCAGCACCUGACAUUUUUUCUGAACAGAGCCUGGGAGAGAAGGGACAUCACUGACGCCUGAUUCACAUAUGGAAAUGUAGGUCCUCUUGCACGGGCUCCUUUAGCCUCCACCGGAGUAUUUUCUGAGAAUGGGCCAGGCUGUGCCCUCUCCAUCUGCUUCCAUUUGUCCAGGAGACUCAGAUAAGUGGUGCUUAGAAGGUGGCAAAGCAGGCGAUUGAAGUUUGUCUUCAUUCUCCCGGUACCCAGGGCCCUCUGUGGUCCGCUAGUUUUCAACAGCAGGAGAGGGAAGGAUGUGAUCUUGGUCCUUUUGCAUUAGGAUAAAGGAGCUGCCCUCAAAACCAAAGAAUGGUAACGCUUCAUUCUUGACUCUAAACAGGAAAGAUCUUGCCCCUUUGGAAUAGAAUUUUAGGAAAAUAGAAACAGAGGGUACCUGGGUGGCUCAGUCUUUG